This 711-nucleotide ribosomal RNA is filed under the name Asplenium phillipsianum. RNAcentral's name for it is "eukaryotic LSU rRNA". The stretch from base 286 to 441 matches the Rfam family "5.8S ribosomal RNA". The record is from RNAcentral. Lineage: Eukaryota; Viridiplantae; Streptophyta; Polypodiopsida; Polypodiales; Aspleniaceae.
GGUGAACCUGCGGAAGGAUCAUUGUCGAUACCUGUCCAAAACAGAACGACCCGCGAACAUGUAAUUACAAUCACUCGAUGAGGAAACGGGACUAUGGCCUUGAUCCUUUGGUCCCUUGUCGGCGUGCGUUUGUGCCGCUUCGAAUGGAACGCCAUAGAUGUUUUGUUGACAAGUUAACCAACCCCGGCACGGAAUGUGCCAAGGAAAAAGAAAACAAAAGAAGGUUGUCCUGGUUUUCGCCCCGUCCGCGGUGUGCAUGCUGGUUGAGACUCUUUGAAACUAAACGACUCUCGGCAACGGAUAUCUCGGCUCACGCAUCGAUGAAGAACGUAGCAAAAUGCGAUACUUGGUGUGAAUUGCAGAAUCCCGUGAACCAUCGAGUUUUUGAACGCAAGUUGCGCCCGAAGCCAUCCGGCCGAGGGCACGCCUGCCUGGGCGUCACACAUCGCGUCGCUCCCCCAUGCAUAUCAGAUUUGGGAUGCAUGGUGUCGGGGCGGAGAUUGGUCUCCUGUGCAACUGCUGCGGUGGCCCAAACAUGAAUCACCUUCGGUUGACGCACGGCUAGUGGUGGUUGAAUAAGCCCUCGUCUUCCGUCGUGCGUCGUUUGCUGCAAGGAAGGCUCUUGUAUAAAGACCUAAUGCGUUGUCUUGUGAUGACGCUUCGACCGCGACCCAGGUCAGGCGGGACUACCCGUUGAGUUUAAGCAUAUCA